RNAcentral lists this ribosomal RNA (485 nucleotides) under uncultured bacterium. Its description in RNAcentral is "partial 16S ribosomal RNA". It matches the Rfam family "Bacterial small subunit ribosomal RNA", at positions 30 to 508 of the family's 1533-position model. The record is from RNAcentral.
AUUGAACGCUGGCGGCAGGCCUAACACAUGCAAGUCGAGCGGAUGAAGGGAGCUUGCUCCUGGAUUCAGCGGCGGACGGGUGAGUAAUGCCUAGGAAUCUGCCUGGUAGUGGGGGAUAACGUCCGGAAACGGGCGCUAAUACCGCAUACGUCCUGAGGGAGAAAGUGGGGGAUCUUCGGACCUCACGCUAUCAGAUGAGCCUAGGUCGGAUUAGCUAGUUGGUGGGGUAAAGGCCUACCAAGGCGACGAUCCGUAACUGGUCUGAGAGGAUGAUCAGUCAACACUGGAACUGAGACAGGCCCCGGCCCCCAGCGGAGGCAGACGGUGGGAAAUUUUGAAAAAGGGCGAAAGCCUUGACCCACCAGUGCGGGGGGUGGAAAAAAGUUUUUGUGUUUUAAAGCCAUUUAAAGUUGGGAGAAAGGAAAGUAAUUAAUUCCCUUGCUUUUUGCAGUUUACAAACAAAAAAGCCACCGCCUAACUCGGGC